AACUGCGUCCAGGUGAACGCGCACCUGUCACGUGCUCAUGUUAUGGACUCCAAACAAUUCUCCCGACAGGAAGUGGCUGCAGCUCGUUUAAUGGAUCCUGAGCGGCAAAAAUGAACCUGCACGUUUCAAGAAGGAAACUGACACGAGAGGAACCUGGAGCUGUUUCACUGGAGUCUGCAGCGCCACCAUGGACAACAAUCGUUCACUGAGGCAGCAAAGCAGAGUGUUCCAGGUGACCCUCUCCUCAGCAACGCUUUCCAGCUCUUCUUGAGGGGAUCAUGAGGCCUCACCUGUCCAGAUUGGAUGUGUAGUACCUGGGUCUACCUCUGGGUGUCCAGUUGGGUGUGUGAGAUCCCCAACCACGUCAUCUAUCCCCUCUCAAAGUGAAGAAGCAGCAGUUCUACUCCUCACCUCAUCUUUCACGGUUUUACUACCAGCAACACCAACUUCAUCUGCAGCACUUGAACAACAUGAACAUGCUCAUUGUUCAAACGUAUUGCUGGAGGCGAAGACUGCGAGCAGUCCUGUGAACCUGGGCGACUCCGUGUCAGGAGAGAACGGAUUACGCAAAAAAGGCGGGGCAUGACCCUGGGAAGAACCCCUUCAAUUUGGAUGUGGAUCUGGAUCAGAGAAACCCACCUCAAAGUCAACAUCUGGCAGGCAGCUCCAUCCACAGAAGGGCCCAUGGAUCUUCAGCACAGGCU
This is a long non-coding RNA of Paralichthys olivaceus (Japanese flounder), 704 nucleotides long. RefSeq lists it as uncharacterized. The record is from RefSeq and is a predicted model, not a curated record. Lineage: Eukaryota; Metazoa; Chordata; Actinopteri; Pleuronectiformes; Paralichthyidae.